This 484-nucleotide ribosomal RNA is filed under the name uncultured bacterium. RNAcentral describes it as "partial 16S ribosomal RNA". It matches the Rfam family "Bacterial small subunit ribosomal RNA", at positions 28 to 523 of the family's 1533-position model. The record is from RNAcentral.
GACGAACGCUGGCGGCGUGCUUAACACAUGCAAGUCGAACGAUGAAGCCGGAGCUUGCUCUGGUGAAUUAGUGGCGAACGGGUGAGUAACACGUGAGUAACCUGCCCUUGACUCUGGGAUAACUGCUAGAAAUGGUAGCUAAUACCGGAUACGACCCUCGGAGGCAUCUCCAGGGGGUGGAAAGAAUUUCGGUCAAGGAUGGACUCGCGGCCUAUCAGCUAGUUGGUGAGGUAACGGCUCACCAAGGCGACGACGGGUAACCGGCCUGAGAGGGUGACCGGCCACACGGGGACGCAGACACGACCCAGACUCCUACGGGAGGCAGCAGUGGGGAAUAUUGCACAAUGGGCGCAAGCCUGAUGCAGCAACGCCGCGUGAGGGAUGCCGGCCUUCGGGUUGUAAACCUCUUUUAGUAGGGAAGAAGCGAAAGUGACGGUACCUGCAGAAAAAGCACCGGCUAACUACGUGCCAGCCGCCGCAGUAA